Molecule: ribosomal RNA, 302 nt
Filed under: uncultured bacterium
Lineage: Bacteria
Description: bacterial SSU rRNA
Rfam family: Bacterial small subunit ribosomal RNA
Source: RNAcentral
GAUGAACGCUAGCGGCAGGCCUAAUACAUGCAAGUCGAACGCUCAGUAGCAAUACUGGGAGUGGCGCACGGGUGCGUAACGCGUACACAAUCUACCUCUAAGCGGGGACACCUCCUGGAAACGGGGAUUAAUACCGCAUAAUAUGCCGAAGUCGCAUGACUUUGGUAUUAAAGCAGCAAUGCACUUAGAGAUGAAGUGUGCGUCCCAUUAGGUAGUUGGUGAGGUAACGGCUCACCAAGCCUAUGAUGGGUAGCCGGUCUGAGAGGAUGGUCGGCCACACGGGCACUGAGACACGGGCCCGA